CAGUCGCCGCGGUAAUACGGAGGGUGCAAGCGUUAAUCGGAAUUACUGGGCGUAAAGCGUGCGUAGGCGGUUCGUUAAGUCUGUUGUGAAAGCCCCGGGCUCAACCUGGGAAUGGCAAUGGAUACUGGCGAGCUAAAGUGUGUCAGAGGAUGGUGGAAUUCCCGGUGUAGCGGUGAAAUGCGUAGAGAUCGGGAGGAACAUCAGUGGCGAAGGCGGCCAUCUGGGACAACACUGACGCUGAGGCACGAAAGCGUGGGGAGCAAACAGGCUUAGAUACCCCAGUAGUCCCUGUCUCUUAUAC
RNAcentral lists this ribosomal RNA (301 nucleotides) under uncultured bacterium. Its description in RNAcentral is "partial 16S ribosomal RNA". It matches the Rfam family "Bacterial small subunit ribosomal RNA", at positions 509 to 807 of the family's 1533-position model. The record is from RNAcentral.